AACCGGAUUAGAUACCCUGGUAGUCCACGCCGUAAACGUUGGGAACUAGAUGUGGGGACCAUUCCACGGUCUCCGUGUCGCAGCUAACGCAUUAAGUUCCCCGCCUGGGGAGUACGGCCGCAAGGCUAAAACUCAAAGGAAUUGACGGGGGCCCGCACAAGCGGCGGAGCAUGCGGAUUAAUUCGAUGCAACGCGAAGAACCUUACCAAGGCUUGACAUAUACCGGAAACGUCUGGAAACAGUCGCCCCGCAAGGUCGGUAUACAGGUGGUGCAUGGUUGUCGUCAGCUCGUGUCGUGAGAUGUUGGGUUAAGUCCCGCAACGAGCGCAACCCUCGUUCUAUGUUGCCAGCACGUAAUGGUGGGAACUCAUGGAAGACUGCCGGGGUCAACUCGGAGGAAGGUGGGGAUGACGUCAAAUCAUCAUGCCCCUUAUGUCUUGGGCUUCACGCAUGCUACAAUGGCCGGUACAAAGGGCUGCAAUACCGUAAGGUGGAGCGAAUCCCAAAAAGCCGGUCUCAGUUCGGAUUGAGGUCUGCAACUCGACCUCAUGAAGUCGGAGUCGCUAGUAAUCGCAGAUCAGCAACGCUGCGGUGAAUACGUUCCCGGGCCUUGUACACACCGCCCGUC
This 628-nucleotide ribosomal RNA is filed under the name Cryocola sp. Iso21. RNAcentral describes it as "bacterial SSU rRNA". It matches the Rfam family "Bacterial small subunit ribosomal RNA", at positions 771 to 1398 of the family's 1533-position model. The record is from RNAcentral. Lineage: Bacteria; Bacillati; Actinomycetota; Actinomycetes; Micrococcales; Microbacteriaceae.